AUUGAACGCUGGCGGAAUGCUUUACACAUGCAAGUCGAACGAUGAACCUUAGCUUGCUAAGGGGAUUAGUGGCGAACGGGUGAGUAAUAUAUCGGAACGUGCCUUGUAAUGGGGGAUAACUAGUCGAAAGAUUAGCUAAUACCGCAUACGCCCUGAGGGGGAAAGUAGGGGAUCUUCGGACCUUACGUUAUAAGAGCGGCCGAUAUCUGAUUAGCUAGUUGGUGGGGUAAUGGCCUACCAAGGCGACGAUCAGUAGCUGGUCUGAGAGGACGACCAGCCACACUGGAACUGAGACACGGUCCAGACUCCUACGGGAGGCAGCAGUGGGGAAUGUUGGACAAUGGGCGCAGGCCUGAUCCAGCCAUUCCGCGUGAGUGAAGAAGGCCUUCGGGUUGUAAAGCUCUUUCGCAAGGGAAGAAAACUUACCAUCGAAUAAAUGGUGAGGCUGACGGUACCUUGAUAAGAAGCACCGGCUAACUACGUG
This 484-nucleotide ribosomal RNA is filed under the name uncultured bacterium. Its description in RNAcentral is "partial 16S ribosomal RNA". It matches the Rfam family "Bacterial small subunit ribosomal RNA", at positions 30 to 507 of the family's 1533-position model. The record is from RNAcentral.